UCUUAGCUUGCUAAGGCUGAUGGCGACCGGCGCACGGGUGAGUAACACGUAUCCAACCUGCCGUCUACUCUUGGCCAGCCUUCUGAAAGGAAGAUUAAUACAAGAUGGCAUCAUGAGUCCGCAUGUUCACAUGAUUAAAGGUAUUCCGGUAGACGAUGGGGAUGCGUUCCAUUAGAUAGUAGGCGGGGUAACGGCCCACCAAACCGACGAUGGAUAGGGGUUCUGAGAGGAAGGUCCCCACACUGGAACUGAGACACGGUCCAGACUCC
Molecule: ribosomal RNA, 269 nt
Filed under: uncultured Bacteroides sp.
Lineage: Bacteria; Pseudomonadati; Bacteroidota; Bacteroidia; Bacteroidales; Bacteroidaceae
Description: partial 16S ribosomal RNA
Rfam family: Bacterial small subunit ribosomal RNA
Source: RNAcentral